UGUCUAGGGGUUCAAACCUAAAGAACCCAAAUAUCUAAACGGAGAAAUUCAAUACCGUUUCUAAUCCAAACGGUGUGCACUUUUCUCUUAGUAAGACGUUGUGAUCCAUUAGGAAUUGACUUGUCUCUUUUGUGGACUCGUCAUUGGGCUACCAAUAGGCUGGCGUUGAAGAUCACCCAGGCAAAUGGCACGAUCAUUUGGUUGUGCGUAUUGUCGGAUGAGCAUGCCAUGUACUGAUGUAGCUGCCUGAUGGAUUUUAAAGGCCAUACCACUGAUGCUUGCAUCACCCCAGCAAUGGGGCUUAUGUAGGAUAUGUGCCCGAUCAACAACGGUUUCAUUUGGGAUACCUUUGGGACCCGUCUUGAAACACGGACCAAGGAGUCUAUCUAGUAUGCGAGUAAAUGGGAUUAAUGAACUAAACCUAUUUGCGUAAAGAACUUGACUGUUUUUUGAUGGGAUUACGUGCGCACUCAUUUACUUUGUGCGCACCUCCAUCCCGGGGUAUUUUCAUCACAUAUGUGGGCAACUGCAUAUAGAAAAUAUACCAUGAGCAUACUGGACAUGACCCGAAAGAUGGUGAACUAUGCCUGAUCAGGUUGAAGUCAGGGGAAACCCUGAUGGAGGACCGAAGCAAUUCUGACGUGCAAAUCGAUUGUCAGAAUUGGGCAUAGGGGCGAAAGA
Molecule: ribosomal RNA, 681 nt
Filed under: Ablabesmyia illinoensis
Lineage: Eukaryota; Metazoa; Arthropoda; Insecta; Diptera; Chironomidae
Description: partial 28S ribosomal RNA
Rfam family: Eukaryotic large subunit ribosomal RNA
Source: RNAcentral